This 525-nucleotide ribosomal RNA is filed under the name uncultured bacterium. RNAcentral's name for it is "bacterial SSU rRNA". It matches the Rfam family "Bacterial small subunit ribosomal RNA", at positions 772 to 1293 of the family's 1533-position model. The record is from RNAcentral.
ACGGAAUAGAUACCCAGGUAGUCCUGGCAGUAAACGGUGCACGUUUGGUGUGGGCGCAAUCGACCGCGUCCGCGCCGGAGCUAAACGCGUUAAACGUGCCGCCUGGGAAGUACGGUCGCAAGAUUAAAACUCAAAGAAAUUGACGGGGACCCGCACAAGCGGUGGAGUAUGUGGCUUAAUUCGAUGCAACGCGAAGAACCUUACCUGGUCUUGACAUGCAUUGUGUCUCCGGUGAAAGCCGGAUAGGGUAGCAAUACCCGCUUUGCACAGGUGCUGCAUGGCUGUCGUCAGCUCGUGUCGUGAGAUGUUGGGCUAAGUCCCGCAACGAGCGCAACCCCUGUGAUUUGUUGCCACCGGCUUAUGCCGAGCACUCGAAUCAGACUGCCUCGAUCAACGAGGAGGAAGGUGGGGAUGACGUCAAGUCCGUAUGGCCCUUACGACCAGGGCUGCACACGUACUACAAUGCCCAGUACAAUGUGAACCGAGACCGCGAGGUGGAGGAAAUCAAUAAAACUGGGCUCAGUU